AAACCAGGAUUAGAUACCCUAUUAUAUUUAAACAAAUUGGGUAGUAUUAUUAAUAAAAACCUUUAUACUUUGGCGGCAUUUUAUCUUAUUAGAGGAAUAUGUUCAUUAAUCGAAACCACACGAUAGUUUUUACUUACUAUAAAAUUUUAUAUACCCCCGUCUAAAGAAUUUAUUUAAAAUUUUUAUUCCAAAUUAUAUUAAAAAAAGUUAGGUAAAGGUGUAGACUAUUAGUAAGAUUAAAUGUAUUACAUUAAAAAAAAUUUAAGGAUAAAACAGUUAACUGUUUAUUAAAAGAGGAUUUAUAAGUAAUUUACUUUUAAUAAAAAUUAAUGAAUAAGAAAAUAAAUGUGCACAUAUCGCCCGUCACUCUCACAUAUAAAC
Molecule: ribosomal RNA, 381 nt
Filed under: Sancus acoreensis
Lineage: Eukaryota; Metazoa; Arthropoda; Arachnida; Araneae; Tetragnathidae
Description: partial 12S ribosomal RNA
Source: RNAcentral